GCGCCCGUAGCUCAACUGGAUAGAGCACCAGACUACGAAUCUGGGGGUUGGGAGUUCGAGUCUCUCCGGGCGCGCCA
This 77-nucleotide transfer RNA is filed under the name Rhodospirillales bacterium. RNAcentral's name for it is "tRNA-Arg". It matches the Rfam family "tRNA". Rfam says of the family: Transfer RNA (tRNA) molecules are approximately 80 nucleotides in length. RNAcentral also lists the same sequence under 4 other names. The record is from RNAcentral. Lineage: Bacteria; Pseudomonadati; Pseudomonadota; Alphaproteobacteria; Rhodospirillales.